GAUGAACGCUGGCGGCGUGCCUAAUACAUGCAAGUCGAGCGAACGGACGAGAAGCUUGCUUCUCUGAUGUUAGCGGCGGACGGGUGAGUAACACGUGGAUAACCUACCUAUAAGACUGGGAUAACUUCGGGAAACCGGAGCUAAUACCGGAUAAUAUUUUGAACCGCAUGGUUCAAAAGUGAAAGACGGUCUUGCUGUCACUUAUAGAUGGAUCCGCGCUGCAUUAGCUAGUUGGUAAGGUAACGGCUUACCAAGGCAACGAUGCAUAGCCGACCUGAGAGGGUGAUCGGCCACACUGGAACUUAGACACGGUCCAGACUCCUACGGGAGGCAGCAGUAGGGAAUCUUCCGCAAUGGGCGAAAGCCUGACGGAGCAACGCCGCGUGAGAGAUGAAGGUCUUCGGAUCGUAAAACUCUGUUAUUAGGGAAGAACAUAUGUGUAAGUAACUGUGCACAUCUUGACGGUACCUAAUCAGAAAGCCACGGCUAACUACGUG
This 497-nucleotide ribosomal RNA is filed under the name uncultured bacterium. Its description in RNAcentral is "partial 16S ribosomal RNA". It matches the Rfam family "Bacterial small subunit ribosomal RNA", at positions 28 to 507 of the family's 1533-position model. The record is from RNAcentral.